AAAUCUAAAAACAUAAUUAAAAUGUUAAAUGAUUUGAGAAUGACUGGUGUAAGGCCAGUGAUUAAUUUUAUAACAUAUUGGGACUACGUAAAUGAAGGGGAGGAAUCAUUCACGGCAGUAGAGUUCAUCUGUGUGGACGGAAGUUGCUUUUACAAGACGUUGUGGAACAACUGCGACCUGAUUCUGAAUCUGCAGACAGUUCGGGAGAAAGCAUGGCUGAUCGAAGGAUUCCGCGUAAAAGGGUACCACCCAAUCGCCUUGUUGAGGAAAAUGAGGAAAAUGAUGGAGCAUCAGCAACAGCACCAACUGAACAGGUGUCCCUUCAAAAAAUGAAGGAGGAAAAUGCUUUUUUAAAAGCUAAAAUUAAAUUCUUAGAGGACAAAUGCAAGGACAUCGAAAGUGAGAGAGAUUUCCUGUGUAGCAGUCUGACCAAUGCCUUGUCAGCAAAGGAAGACAUGAUGGGAGCUUCCUGCAAACCCAAAUAUGAUGAUCCUGUGUCACAGUCUUCCAGUACAGAAGAUGACCUUCAUACAGAACGGAAAAAGAAGACAAAUGAGUAGAGGAAAAGUUGAGAGAAAAAAAAACACCACAAAGUUGACUCAUCGUCCUCCUCUGAAUCAACCUCAUUCUCAUCUCAAUCCUCUUCAUCCCCUGCACCCCGAAAAUCCAGCAAAAAUAAGGAUAAAGCCAAGAAAAGGAAUGGGAAAAAAAGCAGAAAUGCACAAGAGUCUUUCUUCCAGAGCAAGCCAUUAAGAGACACAAGAAGGUCUUGGGCUAUUUGAAAAGUGGAACAACAAAAACACAGGCGUACUUCAAAUGUGGCGUGGAUAGAAAGACAAUUGUGGAUACUGCUGCAAUUGCAGAGCUCGAAGCAUGUGACAUCGAGGCCUACAAAAAUUUGUGUGGCACCUUCCAAAGAGGACAGAAACUGUCUGAUUUUGCACAGCGGUGAAGAGAAUUAUGCAGACAAGAGCCAUUGCAAAGCACCAUUGAAGAAAAAAAGAAAGCUGGCAUGCUUAUUGACUUUUGUGAGAGACAAAAAUAACCAACCUAUGUUUAUGCAUGUGUAUGUGUGUUUCUUUGUAUGAUAAAUACCAUUCCAUGCAUGUUCUAGCUCAAUGACUACACACACAGCCA
Molecule: long non-coding RNA, 1137 nt
Organism: Carassius carassius (crucian carp)
Lineage: Eukaryota; Metazoa; Chordata; Actinopteri; Cypriniformes; Cyprinidae
Exons: 4
Source: RefSeq, a predicted model, not a curated record